CUGAUGGUCUUCUGCACCCAAGGGGGGUCCCUGAUCAAGAUUUCUGCAAAUUACAGGGUUUGGGAAAGAGUUCGGCUGAAUCCUCUGAUGGUCUUUUGCACGCCAGGGUGUCCCUGAUCAUGAUUUGAGCAAAUUACAGGGUUUGGGAAAGAGUUUUGUUAACUUUCAAAAUAUCCAUAAAUUCUUGAGGCGACUCCAAAUUGAUCUACUUCUAAAAUGAUGCAGCCUGGACAUUUGCUCAGGUGUAGUAAUUAUAAUUUAAAUGUCUUAUAGUCUCUUGCAACUUGGUUUAGCCAUUUAUUAUUUUUUCUAACAUAUGACCAUUAAUGUUUCAAGAAAUUGCCCUUAAUAAGGAUAUGGAGCUGAACAAGGAAACAAGGAGUUAAGGAAAGCAGUUGCAGAUACAUUUUACGGAGAUGUAACAGUAAAAGAUACUGAAGUUUUUAUAUCCAAUAUCAAGACUUUCCGGUAUUUAUAU
Molecule: long non-coding RNA, 478 nt
Organism: Daucus carota subsp. sativus
Lineage: Eukaryota; Viridiplantae; Streptophyta; Magnoliopsida; Apiales; Apiaceae
Exons: 4
Source: RefSeq, a predicted model, not a curated record